RNA transcript from Arachis duranensis, 2223 nucleotides. It is a transcript of the gene named RING-H2 finger protein ATL46, with no coding region annotated. The transcript has 3 exons. Lineage: Eukaryota; Viridiplantae; Streptophyta; Magnoliopsida; Fabales; Fabaceae. The record is from RefSeq and is a predicted model, not a curated record.
UGGCAAGUGCGGGAAAAUAUGAGUGCGUUUAAUAGAAUUACUUUUCUUUACCCUCCUUGCACUUUGGGAACUGUUUCCCGUGUUACCCUUUCACUCUUGGGAUUCUUUCCCUUCUUCCCACAAACCCCACUUUCCUUCUAUUGUUUCUAGAUCACACACAGACAAACACAUAAUAGCCAAGAGAAAGAGUCUCAAAUUCCACUUUUUUUUUUUUAAUUCCUUCCUUCUCAUAGGUUUUUUUCCUCAGCUACCUUGAAAGCAUGGAAAGGAACCAAUGGAGUUCAUUAUAGCUUAGUUCGCUUUUAGAACUUCAAGUCUUCAACAUCUUUAACUGAAACUAUAACACACCAGUUGUUGGGUGAGUUUCAGUUAAAAAAAUUCUAUAUAUACAAUUUUAUGUCUUAUGAUUAGUCUAUCAAUAUAUACUUUUUGUAUGUUACUUCAGUCUGAAAUGAUUCGUUCACCAGAUAUAUAUAAUAAAGAUUUGUAAAUCCUGUACGAUACAUGUUUGUAUUAUUGCCUAUUUGGAAUCUGAGUGCCUAAAGCUGCAAGCUCGUUAGGGGAACUUUUGUUGUCCUAUUAUUAUUAUUAUAGUGUCAAAAUGUGACUACGAUUUAUGUUGGGUUGAAUUUGAGACUUGAAAUUGCAUAUAUUUAUUUAUGGGUGGGGCUUUGUGAUCUGUGUGGGAAUUGGGGGGUGUGUCAGAUCAAAGCAUGCACCAAAAUUGGAUUUUUGAGCACACCCAUUUGAAGAUGGCAUGGAUUCACCACCAUAUUCAACAAAAAGAUGGUUACUUGAGCUACUACUACCCUCCACCACCACCACUACCACCACUAUUACCGCCACCAUAUUUGUCCACACCUUCAACAUCUUCUUCAGCUUCAUCUUCAUCUUCAUCUUCAUCACCAUCUUCUGGUACUAGGAUUAGUCCUGCUGUUCUUUUCAUAAUAGUAAUUCUUGCAGUUUUAUUCUUCAUCUCUGGUGUCCUCCAUCUGCUUGUUAGAUUUCUCAUGAAGCACCCGGUUUUUCAGUAUAAGGAGAUUGUGGGGCUGAAGGAGCCAUUUGAUUGUGCUGUUUGUCUGUGUGAGUUUUCUGAGAAGGAUAACCUCAGGUUGUUGCCUAUGUGCAGCCACGCCUUUCACAUAAGUUGUAUAGACACAUGGCUUCUUUCGAAUUCCACUUGCCCUCUUUGUAGAGGGACACUCCUUACUCCGGGGUUUUCGAUGGAGAAUCCAAUGUUUGAUUUUGAUGAUAUGAGGGAAGAUGAAGGGUGGCCUUGUGAUGGUGAAAAUGGAUUUACAAAUAGGCAGAAGAAAGCUGUGGUUGAAGAAAUCAAUGAUGAGAAAAGGGGAAUUUUCCCCGUAAGGCUCGGUAAAUUCCGGAAGAUGGAUGUGGAGACUGGUGAGGAGGGUGUAGUAGUAGGAGAGACAAGUAGCAGUAAUUUGGAUGCAAGAAGGUGUUUUUCAAUGGGAUCUUAUCAGUAUGUUGUGGCCAAUUCAGAACUCAGGAUAGCCUUGAAUCAUGACCGGAGUGAUCACAAAUUGAGGCUUGCUGCUGAAGGAAAACAACAUUCUGAGAAGGCUGCUUUGGAAGGGGAUAUGGAUGCAAAGAAUAUUAGGAGUGUGAGUAAAGGUGAGAGCUUUUCAGUGUCCAAAAUCUGGUUGUGGCCAAAGAAGGGAAAGUUUUCAAGUUCUUCCGAGGCUCAUAUUGGCAUGCCUUCUUAUCUUAAUUCAGACAUGCCUAGGAUGAGGGAAGCCGAAGCAGCAUGAAAGAUUACAAACCAACAGAGCUGCGUAGUGUACGUAGACCCAUUCAUAUGAUGGACUAUCAAGUAUCAACCAUCCAAUAGUAGCACUGAAGGGAAGCCGUUGCAACUUCUUUAGGUGGGUUGAUGAUAAUGGGUAUGCAGCAGGGGCAGAAACUGAUGCAGAGGUUGGUGGCGACUAUGAUGAAUGGAGACUGAAUGUGUCAUGGAGAUUGGGUAGCUUGGAGGGUGAAGUUAGAGCAAUGAAAUUGCUAAUAAUGUACGUCUCAGUUGCAAUGGUUGUGGCUACUGUCUUUUGUGCAUCACUAUUAUUCACAUCAAUCUCCAAGUAAAGCCACAGAUGGAGUGUUAUGUUGUUGCGCUUUAGAGAUGUUAUUAGAACUUUGAGAUUGAAUUAGUUGAUAUAUAAUGAUGAUGUGACUUAUGAAUGAAAGUAGAGUUUAAUUGUGUUUAAUUUA